AUUUGAACCAUCCAUCGUUUUUCUCUAUACAUAAUAAACCCCUACCCGAACGAAAACUCAGCCAUGCCUACACCGCAUCAAAACAGAAAAAGGUCCCAUUCCGCUACCUCGCAGUGCCUUGUAAGACCACGCCGAUCCUCCACUUGAGCUCCCUUUCUUGUUCCACCCACCAUUGUUGGCUUGAGCCAGUUGUGCCUUUUUCGCACUUAAAGCGUUACUUAGUUCUUCCCAAGGGUCCACUUUCCCAUUUUCUGCAAUUUACAUACGGUUCAAUGAAGUAAAGUAAGUUCUAUGUCAACAAAAUAUCGCACUAAAGUUGCAGGAAACGUACCUUUUACAGGGGUUUGCAAACCGUUGUCUGUGCUCGGCUUUAGAUUUGUAGCUGUUUGGACAGGUUUGAGCGGUGCUGACUUGGCUGCUUCUGCGGUAUCUGAGCUGCUGCUAGUUUUGAUGCAGCGGACAUCAAGCAGAGAAGAAAAUUCUAUCUGCAGAAGCAAGGUCUUUCUUAUAUAAGAAUGCUAAUACGUAGCAAGCAAACAACUACAAGAACCAGAACUGUGUUCUUGUUUCUUUAGAUCACAAUCUUAUAGUGUAAAGUUUACACUGUAAACCAUGAAGCGUACCUCCAAAGAUCCGUCUUCUUUAUAAAGAGACGUAUCAGGUUGCAUUGAGGAAUCAUCGGUGUCCUCUUCUGUCUUCUUCUCGAUUGGAUAUUCUUCAACAGGCAUCAAAGUCACCUUCUUGGAUUCUGGAUCAUAGUUGCUUAUCUUUCCAACCUACCAAGAGAUUAAAUAUGUUGUAAAGGGCUCAAAGAAAGAGUUGAUUGUUUGAGUGGCUCAAAAGGGGUGUCAGAGAUUUUACUCGAAAGGAGGAAACUUCAGGAGUCCAAGACGAUGUUAGCUCAAUGAGGCGGUAUGCAAUAACAUCUCCUUUCUGAAACAUUCACAAAUCAGGAGUUUAUAUAUGCUGAGAACCUAUAGAGAACUGUGGGUAGCAAACCUUUACGGAGCCAGAGUAAGCCACAAGCUGUUCAAAGUCGAUCUGACCCUUAGCAACUGUCUCUGCCUCAGCUGGCUCGGUCUGAUAAGUAUCUUCAUCCAUAUCCUGAGCAUAUCGUUUGGACAAUCCUGCCUUCUCUCUUCCCCAUUUUUGGCCUUUCUUCUUCGUCAUGUUUCCAUUCCACACAAAAUUUUCCUAACAUUUUAGAAGUCAUGAUCAGACAAAGCUUAAGGAUACAAAUAUAGGGUGAAGUCAUACCGCAGGAGGUGCAAUUUCUUCAGCAGAAGCUUGAUCUGUUUUAUCUGAAAAGUAAGCAUAGAAGACAAGAAGUGAGGAGCGCCAAAAGCAAAUGCACAAAAGUUCUGCAGAGAGACAAUUUACCGAGCGGCUCGAAGCGAAUGUGGCCUGGCCUCACUUCCACAGGAACAACUUCAUCCCCAACGCCAUCACCAUUUUCAUCUGGCUUCUGAGUUUCCAGAGCUUCAGAGCGAUUUUCCUUGGUUACUUGGUGGUUUGUAGUGAAAGCUGGUUUUUGGUUGGGUGCUACAACCAUCUGCUUCUGUUUAAGCUGCAAAUACUGUAACAAGAAAGAAGGUAUUAUUAUUUGCUAAUCGAGUGAUAGAUACAUAAGUCUUUUAUCAUUUUAAGUUGUGAAGCAUCUGAAGACGAACCUCUUCCUUCUCUU
Molecule: long non-coding RNA, 1684 nt
Organism: Brassica napus (rape)
Lineage: Eukaryota; Viridiplantae; Streptophyta; Magnoliopsida; Brassicales; Brassicaceae
Exons: 2
Source: RefSeq, a predicted model, not a curated record